AUUGAACGCUGGCGGCAGGCCUAACACAUGCAAGUCGAGCGGUAACAGGAAGAAAGCUUGCUUUCUUUGCUGACGAGCGGCGGACGGGUGAGUAAUGCCUAGGAAAUUGCCCUGAUGUGGGGGAUAACCAUUGGAAACGAUGGCUAAUACCGCAUAAUCUCUUCGGAGCAAAGAGGGGGACCUUCGGGCCUCUCGCCAUGAGAGUAGCCCAAGUGGGAUUAGCUAGUUGGUAAGGUAAAGGCUUACCAAGGCGACGAUCCCUAGCUGGUCUUAGAGGAUGACCAGCCACACUGGAACUGAGACACGGUCCAG
RNAcentral lists this ribosomal RNA (312 nucleotides) under uncultured bacterium. RNAcentral's name for it is "bacterial SSU rRNA". It matches the Rfam family "Bacterial small subunit ribosomal RNA", at positions 30 to 334 of the family's 1533-position model. The record is from RNAcentral.